UACGAAGGGUGCUAGCGUUGUUCGGAAUCACUGGGCGUAAAGCGCACGUAGGCGGAUUUGUUAGUCAGGGGUGAAAUCCCGGGGCUCAACCUCGGAACUGCCUUUGAUACUGCAAAUCUCGAGUCCGGAAGAGGUGAGCUGAAUUCCUAGUGUAGAGGUGAAAUUCGUAGAUAUUAGGAAGAACACCAGUGGCGAAGGCGGCUCACUGGUCCGGUACUGACGCUGAGGUGCGAAAGCGUGGGGAGCAAACAGG
Molecule: ribosomal RNA, 253 nt
Filed under: uncultured bacterium
Lineage: Bacteria
Description: partial 16S ribosomal RNA
Rfam family: Bacterial small subunit ribosomal RNA
Source: RNAcentral